AAGGGCUCCAGGUAUGGGGGCCAAAACAGGUUCAGCAGGGAUGAUUAGCCGCAGAAGAACCUCAGCUUUCUGGACUGACUCCUCCAGGAAGCAGGAAAGGAGAGUAAGAGUCCCCUGCCUCAUGUAUCCUAAGGGGCAGUUAAGUGAAAUCAUCGGGAAAGACGCUAAGGAAAGAAGACCAUUUAUGAUGCAACAACCUCUCUGUACCAUCAUCAUUAGAGGUGACAGCAGUUUUGUACCAAUGUACUUUUCAGAUGUCCUUUCGGUGCCACAUUUUCCAGUAAACAACUCUGACCCUUGACUUGAAAACUUUCUUUGAACUGAAAGUCCUUUUGAACUGCACUCUAGUUGUCUAAAUUACUUAACCUUAACCUCUCUGGAUGCAUAAGAGUUAGCCCGAAACAAGCAUCUCACCACAGGACUGAAUCUUACACACUAAAAUCUUGCCUGUUGGGACUUUUUUUAUGUGUUUGUUUUCAAAGAAUUGUCCCUUUAGAUUUGUGACAGAGACCGGACCAAAGUAACUUGAGAACCAGCACACAGAGAUUCUAAAAAUUUAGAUUGGUCUCACUUAAUACAAAUGUUGAAAAUGCAAAAUAGUUGCCCGGGGCUGGCCAGCUUGGGGAGUUCUUUCCUUGACUGGUGUGUGUGAUUGGGGUGGGGGUGGGGGGCAGUGUUAAGGAGGUUAUACAGAGCCCAGAGUCUCUGUUCCC
This 713-nucleotide long non-coding RNA is filed under the name Ornithorhynchus anatinus (platypus). RNAcentral describes it as "lncRNA (ENSOANG00000038328.1)". Lineage: Eukaryota; Metazoa; Chordata; Mammalia; Monotremata; Ornithorhynchidae. The record is from RNAcentral.